CAGCCGGACCGGACGGUCGCUCUCAUUUCGUCAAGGAAUGAGGGAGGAAAGUCCGAACUCCGCAGAGCAGUGUGCCGGAUAACGUCCGGGAAGCCCGGUUCAAGCCGGGUUGACGGAAAGUGCCACAGAAAAUAUACCGCCCGGCGGCAACGCCAGGGUAAGGGUGAAAAGGUGCGGUAAGAGCGCACCGCGGCUGCAGUAAUGCGGUUGGCAGGGCAAACCCCACACGGAGCAAGACCAAAUAGGGAGGGACUGUUGAAGCUUCGGCUUCGCAGGCGUGCCGGCUCGGCGCGCCAAACCUCCGGGUAGGUCGCUUGAGCCCCGCAGUAAUGCGCGGCCCAGAGGAAUGACCGUCCUGCCGGAUCACUUCGGCAGACAAAAUUCGGCUUACAGGUCCGGCUGUCUA
Molecule: RNase P RNA, 406 nt
Filed under: Acidobacteriota bacterium
Lineage: Bacteria; Pseudomonadati; Acidobacteriota
Description: RNase P RNA component class A
Rfam family: Bacterial RNase P class A
About the family: Ribonuclease P (RNase P) is a ubiquitous endoribonuclease, found in archaea, bacteria and eukarya as well as chloroplasts and mitochondria. Its best characterised activity is the generation of mature 5'-ends of tRNAs by cleaving the 5'-leader elements of precursor-tRNAs.
Source: RNAcentral